AGGCAAUAACAGGUUUGUGAUGCCCUUAGAUGUUUUGGGCCGCACGCGCGCUACCAUGAUCAAGUCAACGAGUUUACAACCUUGGCCGGAAGGUCUGGGUAAUCUUGUGAAACUUGAUCGUGCUGGGGAUAGUCCAUUGCAAUUAUUGGUCUUCAACGAGGAAUUCCUAGUAAGCGUGAGUCAUCAGCUCGCGUUGAUUACGUCCCUGCCCUUUGUACACACCGCCCGUCGCUACUACCGAUUGAAUGGCUUAGUGAGGCUUGAAUGGCUUAGUGAGGC
Molecule: ribosomal RNA, 279 nt
Filed under: uncultured fungus
Lineage: Eukaryota; Fungi
Description: partial 18S ribosomal RNA
Rfam family: Eukaryotic small subunit ribosomal RNA
Source: RNAcentral